Molecule: ribosomal RNA, 425 nt
Filed under: uncultured bacterium
Lineage: Bacteria
Description: bacterial SSU rRNA
Rfam family: Bacterial small subunit ribosomal RNA
Source: RNAcentral
GUGGGGAAUAUUGCACAAUGGGGGAAACCCUGAUGCAGCGACGCCGCGUGAGUGAUGAAGUAUUUCGGUAUGUAAAACUCUAUCAGCAGGGAAGAUAAUGACGGUACCUGACUAAGAAGCACCGGCUAAAUACGUGCCAGCAGCCGCGGUAAUACGUAUGGUGCAAGCGUUAUCCGGAUUUACUGGGUGUAAAGGGUGCGUAGGUGGUAUGGCAAGUCAGAAGUGAAAGGCUGGGGCUCAACCCCGGGACUGCUUUUGAAACUGUCAAACUAGAGUACAGGAGAGGAAAGCGGAAUUCCUAGUGUAGCGGUGAAAUGCGUAGAUAUUAGGAGGAACACCAGUGGCGAAGGCGGCUUUCUGGACUGAAACUGACACUGAGGCACGAAAGCGUGGGGAGCAAACAGGAUUAGAUACCCUUGUAGUCC